AAUACCUCUCAAGCAGAUUUGCUUGGUCUUGGAAGAUGAGUUUGCUUGCAUUCUCCCUUCUGAAAUUCAAAGGCGGAUGAUCUCAUAUCCCCAGGCGUAGUAAGAUUAUCUUUUCGCAUGGUGUGUGAGAUAGUCCAGCCGUCGACCCCCAUACUUCUAA
RNAcentral lists this unclassified non-coding RNA (160 nucleotides) under uncultured Trichophaea. RNAcentral's name for it is "sequence contains ITS2". Lineage: Eukaryota; Fungi; Ascomycota; Pezizomycetes; Pezizales; Pyronemataceae. The record is from RNAcentral.